GGGCCCGUAGCUCAGCCUGGUAGAGCACCGCCCUUUUAAGGCGGGUGUCGAUGGUUCGAAUCCAUCCGGGCUCA
Molecule: transfer RNA, 74 nt
Filed under: Pseudomonadota bacterium
Lineage: Bacteria; Pseudomonadati; Pseudomonadota
Also listed under: 1 other name
Description: tRNA-Lys
Rfam family: tRNA
About the family: Transfer RNA (tRNA) molecules are approximately 80 nucleotides in length.
Source: RNAcentral